GGUUGUGGCUUAGUGGUAGAGUGCUUGCCUGGCAUGCAUGAGGCACUGGGUUUGAUCCCUGGCACCA
This 67-nucleotide transfer RNA is filed under the name Marmota monax (woodchuck). RNAcentral's name for it is "tRNA.Ala". It matches the Rfam family "tRNA". From Rfam's summary of the family: Transfer RNA (tRNA) molecules are approximately 80 nucleotides in length. Their secondary structure includes four short double-helical elements and three loops (D, anti-codon, and T loops). The record is from RNAcentral. Lineage: Eukaryota; Metazoa; Chordata; Mammalia; Rodentia; Sciuridae.